UACGUAGGGGGCAAGCGUUGUCCGGAAUCAUUGGGCGUAAAGCGCGUGUAGGCGGCUCGGUAAGUCCGCUCUGAAAGUCGGGGGCUCAACCCUCGGAUGCGGGUGGAUACUGUCGAGCUUGAGUGCGGAAGAGGCGAGUGGAAUUCCUGGUGUAGCGGUGAAAUGCGCAGAUAUCAGGAGGAACACCUAUUGCGAAGGCAGCUCGCUGGGACGUUACUGACGCUGAGACGCGAAAGCGUGGGGAG
This 245-nucleotide ribosomal RNA is filed under the name uncultured Solirubrobacter sp. RNAcentral describes it as "partial 16S ribosomal RNA". It matches the Rfam family "Bacterial small subunit ribosomal RNA", at positions 524 to 768 of the family's 1533-position model. Lineage: Bacteria; Bacillati; Actinomycetota; Thermoleophilia; Solirubrobacterales; Solirubrobacteraceae. The record is from RNAcentral.